CCAUCUGCAGUGUCUCCUGUUUCAGCACCUCUGAACAUUGCAGGACAUCCGCAUAUGAUGAAGGGGUCUGCAAAAACGCCAAAAACCAAGAUAAGUUCCUCAUCAACGUAACAGCACCAGGGAGCUUGUGUGUCAACUGUAAUGAACCAUUCAGAAAUAUAUAUUAAAGAGAAAUGCUGUGUUUGUUUUUUUUUACAUAUCUUCUUAGACGCCAAAAACCAAGAUAAGUUCCUCAUCAACGUAACAGCACCAGGGAGCGUGUGUGUCAACUGUAAUGAACCAUUCAAAGACCCUGUGGGAAAGUUGCCUCCUCCAGCGAUCUUUGACACGGGAAGUGGAGUUCACAUCGAUGGUGAAAAGGCUUCGAAGGCCAUGAAAGAUAUCGCCUCUCUGGUCAAUAUGAUGAAUGAGUCCUCAGCUUCUGUGUCGAUGGGCUCGGUCACUGGGGUCGUAGUGAAGCCCAAAGAGAAGACCGACAUCGAGGAAGUCUCCUUUGGGUACUCUUCCAACUCCAACAUUAAGAUUGUUGAAGAUCGGAAGUCUCUGGAUGGCUUCUCUAGGUCUGUAUCCAUCACAAAGGAAGCAUUUGAAAAGGCCUACAACUUAAGCAACGGCAGUGCAUUUGCCGGUGUUUUCCGAUUCCCCAACAUGUCCAAGGAUGUAAACAACAGCACAGUUCUGCAUAACGAAGUGGUAGCGAUCGAGAUGGGCUGUAUCAUUAACAAUUUAACCGACAAGAUAAAUCUUAAUUUUCUAAACGUCCAUAAGGUAAAUGAUGAUGCGCUUUACUAA
RNAcentral lists this long non-coding RNA (792 nucleotides) under Oncorhynchus mykiss (rainbow trout). RNAcentral describes it as "lncRNA (ENSOMYG00000028685.2)". Lineage: Eukaryota; Metazoa; Chordata; Actinopteri; Salmoniformes; Salmonidae. The record is from RNAcentral.